This 885-nucleotide ribosomal RNA is filed under the name uncultured Flavobacteriia bacterium. Its description in RNAcentral is "bacterial SSU rRNA". It matches the Rfam family "Bacterial small subunit ribosomal RNA", at positions 53 to 936 of the family's 1533-position model. The record is from RNAcentral. Lineage: Bacteria; Pseudomonadati; Bacteroidota; Flavobacteriia.
ACUGCAAGUCGAGGGGCAGCGCGGAUAGCAAUACCUGGCGGCGACCGGCAAACGGGUGCGGAACACGUACGCAACCUUCCCAAAACUGGUGAAUAGCCCUCCGAAAGGAGGAUUAAUACACCGUACCAUAAUAGAGAGGCAUCUCUUUAUUAUUAUAGUAGCAAUACGGUUUUGGAUGGGCGUGCGCCUGAUUAGGUAGUUGGCGGGGUAACGGCCCACCAAGCCUACGAUCAGUAACUGGUGUGAGAGCACGACCAGUCACACGGGCACUGAGACACGGGCCCGACUCCUACGGGAGGCAGCAGUAAGGAAUAUUGGUCAAUGGACGCAAGUCUGAACCAGCCAUGCCGCGUGAAGGAUGAAGGUCCUCUGGAUUGUAAACUUCUUUUAUCUGGGACGAAAAAAGCUCAUUCUUGAGCACUUGACGGUACCAGAGGAAUAAGCACCGGCUAACUCCGUGCCAGCAGCCGCGGUAAUACGGAGGGUGCAAGCGUUAUCCGGAUUUACUGGGUUUAAAGGGUGCGUAGGUGGGCAGGUAAGUCAGCGGUGAAAUCUCCGAGCUUAACUCGGAAACUGCCAUUGAUACUAUCUGUCUUGAAUAUCCUGGAGGUGAGCGGAAUAUGUCAUGUAGCGGUGAAAUGCUUAGAUAUGACAUAGAACACCAAUUGCGAAGGCAGCUCACUACGGGGUCAUUGACACUGAGGCACGAAAGCGUGGGGAUCAAACAGGAUUAGAUACCCUGGUAGUCCACGCCCUAAACGAUGGAUACUCGACAUACGCGAUACACUGUGUGUGUCUGAGCGAAAGCAUUAAGUAUCCCACCUGGGAAGUACGAUCGCAAGAUGAAACUCAAAGGAAUUGACGGGGGUCCGCACAAGCGGUGGA